This 500-nucleotide ribosomal RNA is filed under the name uncultured eukaryote. RNAcentral's name for it is "SSU rRNA". It matches the Rfam family "Eukaryotic small subunit ribosomal RNA", at positions 33 to 545 of the family's 1831-position model. The record is from RNAcentral.
CUGUCUCAGAUAGCCAUGCAUGUCUAAGUAUGAAUGAUAUACAGUGAAACUGCGAAUGGCUCAUUAAAACAGUUAUAGUUUAUUUGAUAAUCAAACUUACAUGGAUAACCGUGGUAAUUCUAGAGCUAAUACAUGCUGGUUAGCCUGACUUUUAGGAAAGGCUGUAUUUAUUAGAUAACAAACCAAUAUUCCUUGUGUCUAUUGUGAUGACUCAUAAUAACUGAUCGAAUCGCAUGGACUUUGUCCGCGAUACAUCAUUCAAGUUUCUGCCCCAUCAGCUUUCGAUGGUAGUGUAUUGGACUACCAUGGCUUUAACGGGUAACGGAGGAUUAGGGUUCGAUUCCGGAGAGGGAGCCUGAGAAACGGCUACCACAUCUAAGGAAGGCAGCAGGCGCGUAAAUUACCCAAUCCUAAUUCAGGGAGGUAGUGACAAGAAAUAACGGACUGAGGCUUUGCUUCAGGAUUGCAAUGAGUUGAAUUUAAACCCCUUGACGAGGAUC